UCAUCCAUGCAAAAAUCGAAGUCCAAUGUUCUAUUCUCCCUGCAGACGUGGCAUUUUCCUUUUGUCUUGAAAGUCCUGUAAUAGGCAGUUUUUUCUCAGAAAAGUUUGAUCUAUUCCCAAUAUUCAUUAUAGCCAAAACUACCAGUUUACUGUAAUAAAUUGUGAAGUCCUUACCAGCCUGAUGCAAGAAAAGAACUUACUUGGGAGAUAUUCCUCACCCAAAUUCACAAUCACUUGUUAAAGUCAGUAACUUGGGGUGUAAGUUAUCUAUUUUUCACAAGUCUAUUAGGGUUUUUAAUUAUUAACAGUGACACGCUUGCACACCAAAGAAAGUUGACUUGUUGACCACCAAUAGUUUUCAAGCUAAUGGGGAACUUUACCCUACCAUCACAGGAUUGAACUAAAAAUGGGUGAACAGUAGUCCAACUUAGUGAAAAAUGCCUCAUGUUAGACUAGCUCUAUAGAUCCGCUAGUGAUUAUAAGCCUUGUUGAAAUUAAUCCAUUAUCUAGUUGAUUUUAAUUUUGAUUUAUUUAUUUACUUUUUAAAGCUCUUUCGGUUUUAUUUGGUUUGCUAAUGCCUCAAGAUCAGCUAAUGAUCUCAUCGUUCCCUCAUGAUCAAGUUUUUAUAUAAACAAAAGUAAAAAAUUCAACUAAAUAGACUCAAAUUUCCUUAAAUUAAAACGUACAUAAACCUAAAAAUCAAAAUGCUGUUAGAUCUUCUUUAUUUUAUUUUUAUUUUUAUUUUAUUUAUAACUAUGUUAAAAUAAAAAUUUAAGAGUCUUUAAACGCAAGUUUGAAGAAGUAUUGGAGCCCUAGUCAAACUACCUGUGAUGGCAAAGAUGUUUUAGCUCCAAGGUAUUCUUUUAUUUUUGGCCUAAUUUUAAUAUAGCUCUUAUUUAAAAAUAAUAAUAAUUGACAUAUUAGCAGAAAAUAUGGGGAUAAAUGGACAUCCGAAACUAACUUCAUAAGAAAAUAAACAACGAUAAUGGUGACCUUUAGCCCUCCUAUCUACCCAAAAAAAAAAAAAAGGAUAAUAAAUUUACCUUUUCCACUAUCUGAAUGAUGAUCCAUUACACUUAAUUAAUCAUGUUUUUCUUUUUAGUUUUGGUCAAAAUCUGGUUGCAUAAGGCCCUGGUAAGUGCAAAUGAAGUUUUGUUAAUAACAAAGUCAAAUAAGCAUGGGUCAAGUUUUAUAAUAUGGUUUCUGCACUUAUCAUACCCCAUACUGAUAUGAUUUUUAUGGAAUUAUAUGUAUUAUAUAAAAUCUUGAUGUAAUUAUAAGUAAGUUUAUUAUCACAAAACGUCUCUGACGUUUGCGAAAACUAUCAAAUUGCAUUCUUAAAAUUUUUUUGUAUCACUCAUGGUCUCUAAUGUUAAUAUAGGUGCACUUAAAUAGUCCAUUUGUUUAAAAAAAAUGUUAAAUCCAGGAGUAUAAUCGUCAAAUCAAUCCUUUUGACCUCUUCAAUGACUCAGACUCGUUUGCCACCAAUUUGGAACCAUUUCCCUCCAUUUCUUGUUGGAAUUGCUAAAGGUAAGGGGUUAAAAUGGAAGGGAAUAACAUAAACAAAUUGAACUGUAAACAUCACACGUUGAACAAAUUGAAUAAACUAACACAUUCAACUACAUUCAAUUAUAUAAUCAACCACGUUCAGUUCCAUCACAUUAACCCCUACAUGACUUCCAUCAAAAAUCACUUCCAGACACUUUUGUUAAGAAGCUUUACCGCGACAGCCAUCGCUCCAAUCCCAAAUCAACGGUUGCGAUCUGCCCGAUGGAGGCCGACGACGAAUCUUCUGCGAUCUGCCGGCAUGUCGUCGUCGUGGCUAGAAGCAUACUACGAUCACACUUGCCGAUGACUUGUCGUUUCAGUCUGAGCUCUGAAGCUUCUCUGCUACUUUGAUUUGUACUCUGCAACACCAAAAAAGAACAAAAAAGGAACAAAAAUUAACUAAGAAUUAAUGCAUUAGACGUUGGCAGUAAAACCCAAUUCUCAGAACUACUAGUGCCACAAAAAUUCCUGUAUUUUUUUAUAACACUCGACGAAUAAAGCCCAAAAGCAAAAAACAGAGAAAAAAGAAGAAUCUGAGGACUCUGAAGCUUUUCAGGUGCUCUGGCGAUUGGGACAAGCUUCUCCAGGUGAUAGUAGAGCAAGUCACCUCCAUGGUUGAGAUCCAUCUAGAAAAGCUUAAGGUCAGUGAAGUAGGCCUCGCUGCCAUCUCCGAUUGCUUGGAUCUGGAGAUUCUACACCUGGUCAAGACCCCUGAGUGCACAAAUGCAGGUUUGGUCUCGGUCUCCCAACGCUAAUUUGCCUCACCCAUCUUCUCUCAGACACUUUUGCAGAAGCUUUAUCGCCCAAUUUUCCACGACUGAAAAACCCUAUUUCUCAGAAAAAGCAUAGAAAUUGGUCUGAUGAUGUUGACGAUGACCACGAAGAAAUAUAUUUGAAGCGUGAGAGGUAAAAGGGAGUUGAC
RNAcentral lists this long non-coding RNA (2470 nucleotides) under Prunus persica (peach). Its description in RNAcentral is "long non-coding RNA (PPER_LNC000382)". The record is from RNAcentral. Lineage: Eukaryota; Viridiplantae; Streptophyta; Magnoliopsida; Rosales; Rosaceae.